Molecule: ribosomal RNA, 300 nt
Filed under: Triticum aestivum (bread wheat)
Lineage: Eukaryota; Viridiplantae; Streptophyta; Magnoliopsida; Poales; Poaceae
Description: partial small subunit ribosomal RNA
Source: RNAcentral
AUGCAACAAGGGCAUCUGUUAGCAUAUUUGAGUAAGGCGCUCUGUCACAAGAAUCAAGCUCUGAGCACAUAUGAAAAGGAAUGCUUGGCCCUGCUGAUGGCGGUGGAAAAGUGGCGCCCGUACUUGCAACACCAACGCUUCAUCAUCCGCACCAAUCAUCAGGCAUUGCGACACUUAUCGGAGCAACGAUUGAGCACCGGGAUUCAACACAAGGCAUUUGUGAAGUUGCUGGGCUUGGAUUAUACUAUCCAAUACAAGAAGGGCGUGACAAACACAGCAGCGGACUCCUUGUCUCGCAAG